This 77-nucleotide transfer RNA is filed under the name Thermoprotei archaeon. RNAcentral's name for it is "tRNA-Ile". It matches the Rfam family "tRNA". Rfam says of the family: Transfer RNA (tRNA) molecules are approximately 80 nucleotides in length. Their secondary structure includes four short double-helical elements and three loops (D, anti-codon, and T loops). The record is from RNAcentral. Lineage: Archaea; Thermoproteati; Thermoproteota; Thermoprotei.
GGGCCGGUGGCUCAGCCCGGUAGAGCGUCCGGCUGAUAACCGGAAGGGCCCGGGUUCAAAUCCCGGCCGGCCCACCA